This 309-nucleotide ribosomal RNA is filed under the name Triticum aestivum (bread wheat). Its description in RNAcentral is "partial small subunit ribosomal RNA". Lineage: Eukaryota; Viridiplantae; Streptophyta; Magnoliopsida; Poales; Poaceae. The record is from RNAcentral.
AUGUCGCUGGAGGCGCUCUGCCUCUCCUAUGCACCCCCUGCUUCCAUCUCCCUCCACCGCCGCCCUCCCUUACCCCUCCGCAGUUCUUGGCACCGCGGCUGUGGCCCCGCACUGGAUCGACGCGUCGCUAUUGCUCUGCCGCUGCGUACAGAGAGUUCAACGCCGCAACCCCCGUCCGUUCAAUCUCGCCGCCAUGGGCGUGCCCCACUCCAACUCCCUUGCCUGUGCUUCCGUGGCGAAACAGUGCAACCUGCAGGAGGAACCAUGGGAGGUCCAGGACGUCCAGCUCGGCAGUCCAACUCGGCAUGA